GAUGAACGCUGGCGGCGUGCUUAACACAUGCAAGUCGAACGGAAAGGCUCCUGCUUGCAGGGGUACUCGAGUGGCGAACGGGUGAGUAACACGUGGGUGAUCUGCCCUGCACUUCGGGAUAAGCCUGGGAAACUGGGUCUAAUACCGGAUAGGACGAUGGUUUGGAUGCCAUUGUGGAAAGUUUCUUCGGUGUGGGAUGAGCUCGCGGCCUAUCAGCUUGUUGGUGGGGUAAUGGCCUACCAAGGCGUCGACGGGUAGCCGGCCUGAGAGGGUGUACGGCCACAUUGGGACUGAGAUACGGCCCAGACUCCUACGGGAGGCAGCAGUGGGGAAUAUUGCACAAUGGGCGCAAGCCUGAUGCAGCGACGCCGCGUGGGGGAUGACGGCCUUCGGGUUGUAAACUCCUUUCGCUAGGGACGAAGCGCAAGUGACGGUACCUGGAGAAGAAGCACCGGCUAACUACGUG
This 466-nucleotide ribosomal RNA is filed under the name uncultured bacterium. RNAcentral describes it as "partial 16S ribosomal RNA". It matches the Rfam family "Bacterial small subunit ribosomal RNA", at positions 28 to 507 of the family's 1533-position model. The record is from RNAcentral.